RNAcentral lists this ribosomal RNA (792 nucleotides) under uncultured archaeon. RNAcentral's name for it is "bacterial SSU rRNA". It matches the Rfam family "Archaeal small subunit ribosomal RNA", at positions 85 to 879 of the family's 1478-position model. The record is from RNAcentral.
ACGGCUCAGUAACACGUGGACAACNUACCCUCAGAUCAGGGAUAACUCCGGGAAACUGGAGAUAAUACCAGAUAGUCCGUGAACGCUGGAAUGCCUCACGGUCCAAAGCUUUUGCGUCUGAGGAUGGGUCUGCGGCCGAUUAGGUAGUUGCUGGGGUAACGUCCCAACAAGCCGAUAAUCGGUACGGGUUGUGAGAGCAAGAGCCCGGAGAUGGAUUCUGAGACACGAAUCCAGGCCCUACGGGGCGCAGCAGGCGCGAAAACUUUACACUGCGCGAAAGCGCGAUAAGGGGACCUCGAGUGCGUGCGCAUUGCGUACGCUUUUCAUAUGCCUAAAAAGCAUGUGGAAUAAGGGCCGGGCAAGACCGGUGCCAGCCGCCGCGGUAACACCGGCGGCUCGAGUGGUGGCCGCUAUUAUUGGGUCUAAAGGGUCUGUAGCCGGCUGGAUAAGUCUCUUGGGAAAUCCGACAGCUUAACUGUCGGGCUGUCAGGAGAUACUCUUCAGCUCGAGACCGGGAGAGGUGAGAGGUACUUCAUGGGUAGGGGUGAAAUCUUGUAAUCCUUGAAGGACCACCAGUGGCGAAGGCGUCUCACCAGAACGGAUCUGACGGCAAGGGACGAAAGCUAGGGGCACGAACCGGAUUAGAUACCCGGGUAGUCCUAGCCGUAAACGAUACUCGCUAGGUGUCGGCCACGGUGCGACCGUGGUCGGUGCCGUAGGGAAGCCGUGAAGCGAGCCACCUGGGAAGUACGGCCGCAAGGCUGAAACUUAAAGGAAUUGGCGGGGGAGCAC